GAUGAACGCUGGCGGCGUGCCUAAUACAUGCAAGUCGAGCGAACAGACGAGGAGCUUGCUCCUCUGACGUUAGCGGCGGACGGGUGAGUAACACGUGGAUAACCUACCUAUAAGACUGGGAUAACUUCGGGAAACCGGAGCUAAUACCGGAUAAUAUAUUGAACCGCAUGGUUCAAUAGUGAAAGACGGUUUUGCUGUCACUUAUAGAUGGAUCCGCGCCGCAUUAGCUAGUUGGUAAGGUAACGGCUUACCAAGGCGACGAUGCGUAGCCGACUUGAGAGGGUGAUCGGCCACACUGGAACUGAGACACGGCCCAGACUCCUACGGGAGGCAGCAGUAGGGAAUCUUCCGCAAUGGGCGAAAGCCUGACGGAGCAACGCCGCGUGAGUGAUGAAGGUCUUCGGAUCGUAAAACUCUGUUAUUAGGGAAGAACAAAUGUGUAAGUAACUAUGCACGUCUUGACGGUACCUAAUCAGAAAGCCACGGCUAACUACGUG
Molecule: ribosomal RNA, 497 nt
Filed under: uncultured bacterium
Lineage: Bacteria
Description: partial 16S ribosomal RNA
Rfam family: Bacterial small subunit ribosomal RNA
Source: RNAcentral